This is a long non-coding RNA of Cynara cardunculus var. scolymus (artichoke), 306 nucleotides long. RefSeq lists it as uncharacterized. The transcript has 3 exons. The record is from RefSeq and is a predicted model, not a curated record. Lineage: Eukaryota; Viridiplantae; Streptophyta; Magnoliopsida; Asterales; Asteraceae.
UAUCCCUAAACCCAAUCCCAUUUUGAUCGGCAACCCUAUCCCUAAACCCAAUCCCUUUUUAUCGCAUCCAUAUCUUAUAAACAAAAUCGAUUCCAUGAACAGAGAUUUUGAUUCAGGCAGCCGCAUAGAUUUUAUAUUCAUUCAUCUUCUUCAACAAUUCCUUCAAGAAUCCACAGGCUCUUUGUACAAAGAUCGACUAGAGAGCCUGAUUGAUGAUUUCCUUGGUGAUUUUGAUUCCAAAGGGGUAAGGGUGAAUACCAAAUUGAUUUUGUACCAGCUCCUAGGAUCACUGAAGCCGACAAAACA